This is a small nuclear RNA of Callithrix jacchus (white-tufted-ear marmoset), 164 nucleotides long. Its record names the gene U1. It matches the Rfam family "U1 spliceosomal RNA". From Rfam's summary of the family: U1 is a small nuclear RNA (snRNA) component of the spliceosome (involved in pre-mRNA splicing). The record is from Ensembl. Lineage: Eukaryota; Metazoa; Chordata; Mammalia; Primates; Cebidae.
AUACUUACCUGGUAGGGGAGAUACCAUGAUCAUGAAGGUGGUUUUCCCAGGGUGAGGCUUAUCCAUUGUGCUCCAGAUGUGCUGGCCCCUGCGAUUUCCUCAAAUGUGGGAAACUCGACAGCAUAAUUUGUGGUAAUGGGGGACUGCGUUCACGCUCUCCCCUG